AUAAACCCUAAAUUUCAGAUACGGAAAUGUCGCUUUGAUACACGAGAACACCUCCCCUUCAAAUCUAGCCCAUAAGAAAUGGAACUCAACGUUCUCCGGACAAGUCGAGUGCUGAAGGAUCGACAACACCGCCGCCAUUGUUCCUCUCAGACAAACUCAUCACAAGUCUGACAUCAAGAAGAACAAGUAAUUCAGAGAAUAACAAGGAGUUUCCAGUCAUAUGUUUAGGACGUCCGUUGUCAAAAUACCAAUCAUUUGAGUUAUCGACAUGAAUUGAGGUAAACGCCACAACACUUAAGUUAUGCUUCUCUUUGUUCUUUACUCUCCAUACAUGGUUUUGACAGGGAGACUUGAAUUACUCAACAAGACUUUCUUGCUACUUUUAUCAUUCAGCCUUCUAUGAUUUGGAUCGAAUAUAUCCAUGAAACUUGUAACAAAAUGGUCGAAUAUGACAAACUUUUCCACAAAAAUGGCAUAUGCACCUUUUUGAAGAAUUUUGACUAGACUGUGUAGAUUACUUGCACCAUGCAACAACUCAGCAAUUUCUUCACAUUUACUCUUGCUAUCAGAGGCUCUAACAAACACUACUGAGGAACCUUUAACCUAAGAGUCUUUUUCCAGAAAAACGAAGACUCUUUUUUCUUAUCUCCCUUACUCUUCCUUUCACUCAGAAGAUUGUCCAAACUCUGAGUUCGAGAGUCUUGGUUGUCAACAGAAGUCGUCGAAGUAGUGGUUGGAGGUUGAUGACAACAACUGUUGGAGAUGAUAAUUGAAGGUAUGCCGGUAGGUCGUUCGAAAAAGUGGUUGAAGGUGGACUGACGAUGAUUGUCUAAAGUGGUGGAAAGAGGUUGGUCGACAGAUGUCGUUGGUGAUUGUAGUCGAAGGUUAGCCAAUGAUAGUUGCUAGAGUUUUUCAUACACUAACAUUAUCUACCUAUUAAACCCUCAAAAUACAUUUUUCUAAAAGUUGGUUUCAAGUAUUUAUCUUCAAAGUUCAUUUUAAGUUA
Long non-coding RNA from Cucumis melo (muskmelon), 1006 nucleotides. RefSeq lists it as uncharacterized. The transcript has 4 exons. NCBI's taxonomy places the organism in Eukaryota, Viridiplantae, Streptophyta, Magnoliopsida, Cucurbitales, Cucurbitaceae. The record is from RefSeq and is a predicted model, not a curated record.